RNAcentral lists this transfer RNA (73 nucleotides) under [Brevibacterium] flavum. Its description in RNAcentral is "tRNA-Arg". It matches the Rfam family "tRNA". Rfam says of the family: Transfer RNA (tRNA) molecules are approximately 80 nucleotides in length. The record is from RNAcentral. Lineage: Bacteria; Bacillati; Actinomycetota; Actinomycetes; Mycobacteriales; Corynebacteriaceae.
GCGCCCGUAGCUCAACGGAUAGAGCAUCUAACUACGGAUCAGAAGGUUGGGGGUUCGAAUCCCUCCGGGCGCA